Molecule: non-coding RNA, 75 nt
Organism: Trichonephila inaurata madagascariensis
Lineage: Eukaryota; Metazoa; Arthropoda; Arachnida; Araneae; Nephilidae
Source: the annotation of a GenBank genome assembly
GUUUCUGUAGCGCAUUGGAUAGCGCUUUGGACUUCAAAAAUCCAAAUGUUGUGGGUUCGAAUCUCACCUGGGAUU